UCAGGGGUUUCCACGGGCUCCAUCCUGACUCAGAGAGAACCAACAUGGCGUGUGGGCUGAGCUGGCUUCUCCUGAUGGCUGUGUUAGGAGGGGUCCAGUGUGAGGUGCAGCUGGUGGAGUCUGGGGGAGGCUUGGUGAAGCCCAAGGGGAACCUGAGACUCUCCUGUGUAGCCUCUGGAUUCAAUUUUGGCAGCUAUACAAUGCACUGGGUCCGCCAGGCUCCAGGGAAGGGCCUAGAGUGGGUCUCAAGCAUCAGUAGUGGUGGUAGUACAUACUAUGCCGACUCUGUGAAGGGCCGUUUCACCAUCUCCAGAGACAACAGCAUCAACACACUUUCUCUGCAAAUGAGCAGCCUGAGGGAUCAGGACACGGCCCUGUAUUACUGUGUGAAAGACACAGUGAGGGGAAUGCACUGUAGACCCAGACACAAACCACCUGCAGGAGGAAGCAGGCAGAAUUUUGUAGACACUGCUGAGUAUGUAGAUGACUUGUGA
Molecule: non-coding RNA, 494 nt
Organism: Sorex araneus (European shrew)
Lineage: Eukaryota; Metazoa; Chordata; Mammalia; Eulipotyphla; Soricidae
Source: the annotation of a RefSeq genome assembly